GAUGAACGCUGGCGGCGUGCUUAACACAUGCAAGUCGAACGGAAAGGCCCAAGCUUGCUUGGGUACUCGAGUGGCGAACGGGUGAGUAACACGUGGGUGAUCUGCCCUGCACUUCGGGAUAAGCCUGGGAAACUGGGUCUAAUACCGGAUAGGACGAUGGUUUGGAUGCCAUUGUGGAAAGUUUUUUCGGUGUGGGAUGAGCUCGCGGCCUAUCAGCUUGUUGGUGGGGUAAUGGCCUACCAAGGCGUCGACGGGUAGCCGGCCUGAGAGGGUGUACGGCCACAUUGGGACUGAGAUACGGCCCAGACUCCUACGGGAGGCAGCAGUGGGGAAUAUUGCACAAUGGGCGCAAGCCUGAUGCAGCGACGCCGCGUGGGGGAUGACGGCCUUUGGGUUGUAAACUCCUUUCGCUAGGGACGAAGCGUUUUUGUGACGGUACCUGGAGAAGAAGCACCGGCUAACUACGUG
RNAcentral lists this ribosomal RNA (468 nucleotides) under uncultured bacterium. RNAcentral describes it as "partial 16S ribosomal RNA". It matches the Rfam family "Bacterial small subunit ribosomal RNA", at positions 28 to 507 of the family's 1533-position model. The record is from RNAcentral.